Molecule: ribosomal RNA, 253 nt
Filed under: uncultured bacterium
Lineage: Bacteria
Description: partial 16S ribosomal RNA
Rfam family: Bacterial small subunit ribosomal RNA
Source: RNAcentral
UACGGAGGAUCCAAGCGUUAUCCGGAAUCAUUGGGUUUAAAGGGUCCGUAGGUGGACGAUUAAGUCAGAGGUGAAAUCCUGCAGCUCAACUGUAGAAUUGCCUUUGAAACUGGUUGUCUUGAGUCAUUAUGAAGUAGUUAGAAUAUGUAGUGUAGCGGUGAAAUGCAUAGAUAUUACAUAGAAUACCAAUUGCGAAGGCAGAUUACUAAUAAUGUACUGACACUGAUGGACGAAAGCGUGGGGAGCGAACAGG